RNAcentral lists this ribosomal RNA (497 nucleotides) under uncultured bacterium. RNAcentral's name for it is "partial 16S ribosomal RNA". It matches the Rfam family "Bacterial small subunit ribosomal RNA", at positions 29 to 507 of the family's 1533-position model. The record is from RNAcentral.
UACGAACGCUGGCGGCGUGCCUAAUACAUGCAAGUUGAGCGCUGAAGGUUGGUACUUGUACCAACUGGAUGAGCAGCGAACGGGUGAGUAACGCGUGGGGAAUCUGCCUUUGAGCGGGGGACAACAUUUGGAAACGAAUGCUAAUACCGCAUAAAAACUUUAAACACAAGUUUUAAGUUUGAAAGAUGCAAUUGCAUCACUCAAAGAUGAUCCCGCGUUGUAUUAGCUAGUUGGUGAGGUAAAGGCUCACCAAGGCGAUGAUACAUAGCCGACCUGAGAGGGUGAUCGGCCACAUUGGGACUGAGACACGGCCCAAACUCCUACGGGAGGCAGCAGUAGGGAAUCUUCGGCAAUGGACGAAAGUCUGACCGAGCAACGCCGCGUGAGUGAAGAAGGUUUUCGGAUCGUAAAACUCUGUUGGUAGAGAAGAACGUUGGUGAGAGUGGAAAGCUCAUCAAGUGACGGUAACUACCCAGAAAGGGACGGCUAACUACGUG